AAGUCGUAACAAGGUUUCCGUAGGUGAACCUGCGGAAGGAUCAUUAAUAAAAUUUUACCCAAAUAUCAACCUUUUGUGCACCAGUUUUUUUGUGUUUGACUUGAUAUUUUUUUCUCCGUCAAGAAAAGGGGGGCCUGGGUGGCAGUGGAAAACCGCUGCCCUGACCUGCCUGGCCUGGACGGAGGAAAAAAUAUUGAUGAAAAUUCUAUAAACGUUUGUUUUUUAUCGAUUGAUGGCCUGAAGUCAUUGGUGUAAUUACCAUGGAUUAAAAAUGAUAUAAACAACUUUUAACAACGGAUCUCUUGGCUCUC
This 311-nucleotide unclassified non-coding RNA is filed under the name fungal sp. RNAcentral's name for it is "partial internal transcribed spacer region". The stretch from base 1 to 46 matches the Rfam family "Eukaryotic small subunit ribosomal RNA", at positions 1786 to 1831 of the family's 1831-position model. The record is from RNAcentral. Lineage: Eukaryota; Fungi.